GACGAACGCUGGCGGCGUGCCUAAUACAUGCAAGUCGAGCGAAUCAAUAGGAGCUUGCUCCUGAUGGUUAGCGGCGGACGGGUGAGUAACACGUGGGCAACCUGCCUGUAAGACUGGGAUAACACCGGGAAACCGGUGCUAAUACCGGAUAAUCCUUUUCCUCGCAUGAGGAAAAGCUGAAAGUCGGUUUCGGCUGACACUUACAGAUGGGCCCGAGGCGCAUUAGCUAGUUGGUGAGGUAAAGGCGCACCAAGGCGACGAUGCGUAGCCGACCUGAGAGGGUGAUCGGCCACACCGGGACUGAGACACGGCCCAGACUCCUACGGGAGGCAGCAGUAGGGAAUCUUCCACAAUGGACGAAAGUCUGAUGGAGCAACGCCGCGUGAGCGAUGAAGGCCUUCGGGUCGUAAAGCUCUGUUGUUAGGGAAGAACAAGUACCGGAGUAACUGCCGGUACCUUGACGGUACCUAACCAGAAAGCCACGGCUAACUACGUGCCAGCAGCCGCCGUAA
This 512-nucleotide ribosomal RNA is filed under the name uncultured bacterium. RNAcentral's name for it is "partial 16S ribosomal RNA". It matches the Rfam family "Bacterial small subunit ribosomal RNA", at positions 28 to 523 of the family's 1533-position model. The record is from RNAcentral.